Molecule: non-coding RNA, 2636 nt
Organism: Rattus norvegicus (Norway rat)
Lineage: Eukaryota; Metazoa; Chordata; Mammalia; Rodentia; Muridae
Source: RefSeq, a predicted model, not a curated record
GUAAAACCGGAAAAAAAAAAUUAGAGCUGGAGGGUAGUGAAAGUUAACAGAAGCAGUUUUAAAGUUGAUUAGUGGGUUUUCUACAGUCGAUAUUGUCGAUAUUCUCCAGAAAGCAUGAGAACAGUCUAGGAGUAUAAUGUUAAGAAAAAUUGUAAAAAUCGCAGGGAACAUCGCCAAAAGAAACUUCACCGCGGACUUCAUGAGGCUGCAGAGGAAAAAAAAAAUGACUAAACCACAGAGACCGAAGUUUCUUUGUGAAUUCCCUGCGAAUCACCCCUUUGAGAAUUAGUUCAGGCAGAAGCAAUGAAAUCGUAAAUGGGAAUUCCUUUCUCCUGCUACUUGAGCCCUCUGAGCUGCUCUCUGAGUCUCUGGGGAAAGGAAAGCUGCAGUGAGCAUCCUGCCAUCCCAGGGAACUCCAUUCUCCUGCUACUCCUCCACCUCCAUCACUACUUAUUCAUACUGUAGGAUCCUGUGUGUGCCGCAUCGUUCCUGCUGGCGAGACGUAGCGCGGGACAUCUGGUGCCGAAAACCCGGGAAAGACCUCGCCAUCGUCAGCACCUUCGGAGAUCCCUUGGCGACAAGGAGGAUUCAGAACUGCAGGACAAUGAAAAUCCCAUAUGGAUCCCAGGACGACUUACUCUGAGCAUCACAGCAAGUGAUCAAGAAGGGACUGGGACUCCUGCACCUCCUCACUCUUCUUCCAUGGAUGCCAGCAACGGUGCAGGGCGAGCUAGGAUGGGGAAUAAUGUCAACCUUUCCACUCCCGAUGCCGGUGAUGUACCACUAACAGGGAUUUAGGGUUGGCCUAUUUACCUAAGGAUCCACAGGUUGAAUGACUGAAAGAAAAUAGGACUAUUCCCCUUAAGGGCAGCCUUUGUUUUGGCAUAUUCAACAAAACAUCUUUUGAUCUCCCUUGCAUUAUGUUAUAUAAUCAAUCUUCUGCUUGGUUAAGGGAGGCCACAUGGGGAACUGGUGAGGAGGACAUUGUGGCUAACGCCACAGUUCUCUAUGGUGGUGGCCUUACAUUGCGUUAAUGGUAGCUGCACUGAUCUUACGCCCAUGGCGAUGCUACUUGGAGGUAAGGGCGAAAAGGGACGGUUGUCAUUUUCCUGGAUGGGGAACGUCAAACCUCCUGCCUCUGUCUGGACAGCUACUCAUAUAAAAUAUCGCAGUAGUUACCCGCAUGCCUCGCUUUAUCCCGAUCCCUGUUGAUACCCCGGGGACCAUGACCUUAUUUAGAGGAAAAAGAGAUGUUGGUACUUCUGCAAUUAUUGCUGGCAUUAUUGCUAUGACAGCAGUCGCUGCCUCGGUUACUGCCUCAGCAUUGGCCUUGUCAAAUUCAGUACAGACAACCCAAAGUAUCAAUGAUUUAUCGGCCACCAUCUCUGUGGCUUGGGACAGACAGGCCUCGGCCAAUACUCAGAUAUAGGGAGGCCUUAUGCUUGUCAACCAACGUAUAGAUCUGGUCCGAGAGCAAUUAGACAUUCUAUGGCAACUGGCCCAGCUUGGCUGUGAUCAAAAACUCCCAGGCCUUUGUGUCACCUCCAUAUAAUAUGACAAAUUUACCCUCUGCUAAUCUAAGAGUCUUUCACAGCAUCUGUUACAGAAUUGGACCUCGGAGUUUGAACAGACACUUCGGGAGCUGAGAGCGACCAUCAUUCAAGUAAAUUCUACCCGACUGGACCUGUCUGUGACGGAGGGAUUGUCGUCCUGGAUCACCUCAGCAGUCUCUUAUUUCAAGGAAUGGGUGGGAGUGGGAUUUUUGGAGUGAUCCUCUGCUGUGGAUUAGUGUUACUCCUCUGGUUGCUUUGCAAAUUGAGAUCUCAAACAAAAAAGGACAAAGUAGUGAUCACCCAGGCGCUUGUAGCCCUUGAACAAGGAGCGUCAGCCGAUAUCUGGUUGACCAUGCUCAAGCAACAGGUCGCCGGCUGGACAGCUCUUGCACUCCUAGAACCUCGGUUCAUUGCACAGGAUUAGAGUGUCCGGCUUGAGCAGCCCAUGAGGGGUGACGAACUUAGCAUCGCACAGGGAAGUUCUACCAACUACACUCCCUGGAAGGCAUGUCAUAUUACAUGAGGGUUUCUGCCCCAGUUUUCCCUCCCUCGAAAAAUGGCAGUGCGACGGGUCGGGAGUGCCCUGGGUCCCAACAACAGCCUAAGGGUAUCUCUCUUGUACAGGUUCGCCAACUUUGUAUGAGGAUAUGACCUAUGUCUUCGCCCUCCUAUAUCUGGGUGUCCUGUUUGCUUAAAAAACAGAAAAGGGGGAGAUGUGAGGAGCUGUCCGAGGAGCUGUCCUCACAGAUGUGAGGAGCUGUCCAAGGAGCUGUCCUCACAUAUGUGAGGAGCUGUCCUCACAAACUCCAUUACAAGAUGGCACCGGCAUCCGGCAGAACGCACGUAGUAAAAAGGGCAAUACGCAGGCGCCUGGUAACUUCCCUACUCAAAGGGACACGUACGUUUUGGUACGUCAUCUGGCAUAAUUGGCAGCGACCAGUCAGAGAGUGACACGUCCUAGGCGAGGAUAGUUUCCUAUAUAAGGGAUGGUUAUUCCUCACUCUCCGUCUCCGCAUUGUAAGCUUAUGCUCUCCCUCUCAAGACGCAUUAAAGCUUUUCUGCAGUAUGAUCCUGUGUGUGCCG